UGUCUUUUUGAAAUAAUAUAAAGUCUAAUCUGCCCACUGAUAUAAUAUUAAAGGGCUGCAGUAUAUUGACUGUACAAAGGUAGCAUAAUCAUUAGUCAUUUAAUUGAUGACUUGUAUGAAAGAUUGGAUGAAAUAUAAACUGUCUCUUAAUUAUAAAUAGAAUUUAAUUUUUUUAUUAAAAAGUUAAAAUAAUUUAAAAAGACGAGAAGACCCUAUAGAGUUUUAUAAUUAAGUUAAUUAAAAUUAUUUAUUAAAAUAAAAUUAAAAUUAAUUUAUUUAUUUUGUUGGGGUGACAAAAAAAUAUAUAUAACUUUUUUUAAAAAUAAUAACAUUUAUAAGUGAUUAAAUGAUCCAAUAUUAUUGAUUAUAAGAAAAAAUUACCUUAGGGAUAACAGCGUAAUUUUUUUUUUUAGUUCACAUAAAAAAAAAAGUUUGCGACCUCGAUGUUGGAUUAAGAUAAAAUUUGAAUGUAGAAG
RNAcentral lists this ribosomal RNA (476 nucleotides) under Manga fuliginosa. Its description in RNAcentral is "partial 16S large subunit ribosomal RNA". The record is from RNAcentral. Lineage: Eukaryota; Metazoa; Arthropoda; Insecta; Lepidoptera; Noctuidae.